This 497-nucleotide ribosomal RNA is filed under the name uncultured bacterium. RNAcentral describes it as "partial 16S ribosomal RNA". It matches the Rfam family "Bacterial small subunit ribosomal RNA", at positions 28 to 507 of the family's 1533-position model. The record is from RNAcentral.
GAUGAACGCUGGCGGCGUGCCUAAUACAUGCAAGUCGAGCGAACAGACGAGGAGCUUGCUCCUCUGACGUUAGCGGCGGACGGGUGAGUAACACGUGGAUAACCUACCUAUAAGACUGGGAUAACUUCGGGAAACCGGAGCUAAUACCGGAUAAUAUAUUGAACCGCAUGGUUCAAUAGUGAAAGACGGUUUUGCUGUCACUUAUAGAUGGAUCCGCGCCGCAUUAGCUAGUUGGUAAGGUAACGGCUUACCAAGGCAACGAUGCGGAGCCGACCUGAGAGGGUGAUCGGCCACACUGGAACGGAGACACGGUCCAGACUCCUACGGGAGGCAGCAGUAGGGAAUCUGCCGCAAUGGGCGAAAGCCUGACGGAGCAACGCCGCGUGAGUGAUGAAGGUCUUCGGAUCGUAAAACUCUGUUAUUAGGGAAGAACAAAUGUGGAAGUAACUAUGCACGUCUUGACGGUAACUAAUCAGAAAGCCACGGCUAACUACGUG